UCUGACAGUCCAUCUCGCAAUAUGUUCCUCCAGCAUAAAAACAAGACAAAGUUUCUGCAGAGCUGCUCUAACCCAAUAAUAAAAUUGGACAAUAAGCUGCAUAUCUGCCGGAAACCUGGGACUGGCAAUGGAGAUGAGAAGAGAAUCAGAAGGCUGAAAUGAAGCCACAAUGUUGACAGCAAGUGGAGUCUGGCAACCCCAAGUUUCCAAAGUGCACAUCUGCGCUGGGGCCUGGAGAUUUCUGGAAGGGAAUCAGUCUGUGUCCUUUUUGCAGGAUAUGUCUGAUGACAUAGAAGCUGUGGAAUCCAUUCUUCAGGGUCUAAACUCAAGCCUGGUCCUUAGUUCUCCGUACUGUAUUCUUCCUGACCUCCAGACCUGAGCGUCCUCCCCUUCAAAAGACAAAGCCAUCCAAAGAGUCUGAGCACUCCAAGUGAGCAGCUUGAAGAGUGAGAGACAUGGACAGAGGGAAGGGCAGGUCUGUGCAGCCUGUGGCCAUAAACCCCACCUCUGGCCUUCUCCAGUGAAGCCACACUCAAGAUUUAAGAGAACUUGUGAUCAACUUGGGGUAUUUGCACCCCACGAAAAGGGAGUUUGCAGGAUCCCUAAUAUCACUGCGAGUUGCCACUUUUCCAGUCUUUUUUUGCUGUUCGCUCAUAUCCACAGGGAAAAAAACGAAAUGAGCAGCCCAGUCCCUCAGGCCUUUUUCUUUAAUGUUGCCAUCAAAAAUCAAUAAAAUGCAUCAAGCUGUUUCAACUAAGUUGAUCUCAAAUCAAACUGGUAUGGUUGUCAGGGAAUAUGUUGAACUAUAUUUAAGUGAAGAAAGAUUUU
This 828-nucleotide long non-coding RNA is filed under the name Homo sapiens (human). RNAcentral's name for it is "HSALNT0065994". Lineage: Eukaryota; Metazoa; Chordata; Mammalia; Primates; Hominidae. The record is from RNAcentral.